CUGUCGCGGGUGGCCGGUGGCUACCGCGGCGGGCUGGCGUUCCGCACCGACCUGUUCGACGCCGGCACGGCCGA
RNAcentral lists this transfer RNA (74 nucleotides) under Amycolatopsis bullii. RNAcentral's name for it is "tRNA-Ala". The record is from RNAcentral. Lineage: Bacteria; Bacillati; Actinomycetota; Actinomycetes; Pseudonocardiales; Pseudonocardiaceae.